This 89-nucleotide transfer RNA is filed under the name Acidobacteriota bacterium. Its description in RNAcentral is "tRNA-Leu". It matches the Rfam family "tRNA". From Rfam's summary of the family: Transfer RNA (tRNA) molecules are approximately 80 nucleotides in length. Their secondary structure includes four short double-helical elements and three loops (D, anti-codon, and T loops). RNAcentral also lists the same sequence under 3 other names. Lineage: Bacteria; Pseudomonadati; Acidobacteriota. The record is from RNAcentral.
GCCGGAGUGGCGGAAUUGGCAGACGCACUAGACUCAAAAUCUAGCGUGGGUUACCCCACGUGGGGGUUCAAGUCCCCCCUCCGGCACCA